GGGAAGGUGGCUCAGUGGUAGAGUGCUUGCCUGGCAUGCACGAAGCCCUGGGUUCGAUUCCCCAAUACCA
Molecule: transfer RNA, 70 nt
Filed under: Dipodomys ordii (Ord's kangaroo rat)
Lineage: Eukaryota; Metazoa; Chordata; Mammalia; Rodentia; Heteromyidae
Rfam family: tRNA
About the family: Transfer RNA (tRNA) molecules are approximately 80 nucleotides in length.
Source: Rfam by way of RNAcentral